RNAcentral lists this ribosomal RNA (466 nucleotides) under uncultured bacterium. RNAcentral's name for it is "partial 16S ribosomal RNA". It matches the Rfam family "Bacterial small subunit ribosomal RNA", at positions 328 to 792 of the family's 1533-position model. The record is from RNAcentral.
GGGCCAGACUCCUACGGGAGGCAGCAGUGAGGAAUAUUGGUCAAUGGGCGGGAGCCUGAACCAGCCAAGCCGCGUGAAGGAAGAAGGCGCCAAGCGUCGUAAACUUCUUUUGUCGGGGAACAAAGGGCGCCACGUGUGGCGUUGUGAGUGUACCCGAAGAAAAAGCAUCGGCUAACUCCGUGCCAGCAGCCGCGGUAAUACGGAGGAUGCGAGCGUUAUCCGGAUUUAUUGGGUUUAAAGGGUGCGUAGGCGGGAUGCCAAGUCAGCGGUAAAAAUGCGGUGCUCAACGCCGUCGAGCCGUUGAAACUGGCGUUCUUGAGUGGGCGAGAAGUAUGCGGAAUGCGUGGUGUAGCGGUGAAAUGCAUAGAUACCACGCAGAACUCCGAUUGCGAAGGCAGCAUACCGGCGCCCUACUGACGCUGAGGCACGAAAGCGUGGGUAUCGAACAGGAUUAGAUACCCUAGUA